Molecule: transfer RNA, 71 nt
Filed under: Ictidomys tridecemlineatus (thirteen-lined ground squirrel)
Lineage: Eukaryota; Metazoa; Chordata; Mammalia; Rodentia; Sciuridae
Description: Spermophilus tridecemlineatus (thirteen-lined ground squirrel) tRNA
Rfam family: tRNA
About the family: Transfer RNA (tRNA) molecules are approximately 80 nucleotides in length. Their secondary structure includes four short double-helical elements and three loops (D, anti-codon, and T loops).
Source: Rfam by way of RNAcentral
GUAGUUGUGGCUCAGUAGUAGAGCGCUUGUCCAGCAUGCAUGAGGCACUGGGUUCAAUCCUCAGCAGCACA